GAUUGCAAGGUAACAUCCGUCUGGAAUACAAUAAACAAAAAUACCUUACCUUUGAUUCGGUCUAUCCUGGUGUCUUUCAUUCAACUCUAAUCAUCAUUUCUUGGCUGCUUCCUCGUCGACCACAACACAUGUGUUCACAACAUUAUUAUAUAUAUCAAUUAACAUCGAUAGUUUGCGCCAGCUCUCUUUUUGACUUUUGCUUUUCCGCCGCUAAAGUUUGUUUUCUUUCAUUUUUCACCCCUCAGCACAUCUACGGAAGAGAGAUCGAGAGGGGAAACUGGAGAAAGAAGAGAGAGAGAGAGUAGUAAGAAAGUGGAAUAGAAACAGAUCUGGACCCGGCAAGUCUCCGGCCACCGACCUAACACUCUGACAUCAUACACCUUUGGCUUCUUUAUACGACCUUUAGUCACUCAGGUGGUUCGAGAGAGAGAAUCUGGACAGAGGAAGUGAGAGAGGUGGUGGGCACGAUGGCGGAGCCUGGUCGGUGUGGCAAGGUGGAUUGACUUUCCGACGAAGUCGGCUAGGGUUCCAGCGAGAUUCCGGUAACCCAAUUCAGGCUCCACAGGUAGAAGAUUGAAAACAUACAACCAAAGCGAGUAGCCGAUUUUCCAAGUGUUAAAAGGUUGCUACAAAGGUGAAAAUUUGGACCUGUUCAAUGUUCAUCCACUAUUUUACUUUGCCUUAACAGGAUGUUUAUCCUUGAUUUUACUUUGCCUCUAACAGAUCAAACGACAAACAACCCUUUUUGUGCUAUAUAACUUAUCGCUAUGUUAAAUAUCAUCACAGAAAGCAUGUUAUUGGAAACUUAAUUUGUCGCUUAUCGUUAAUUGGUUAUGUUUAUGUAAAUUCGUUUUUUUAUACUCAAUUGGUUAAGUUGUUUUCGCAAAUUAUUACAAAGGUAAAAAUCCCGCCGCGAAACGCGGGGUUCCUUUACUAGUAUAUAUCAAAUUACAACGUUCGUUUGCGCUAGGAUGCUCUUUGAUGUUAAAACAUUGACCACCGAACUUUUUGCUUCUUAACCAUUCACCACUAAUGUUUGAGGUUUCUUUCUUGAAGCAUCUCCUACCUUUCCAACCCCUUUGGCCAUUUGUCUUCACCUGGUGAAAUAGAGAGAGAUCUGGAACAAAUUUACAAACACCCAACUUCAUCCUAAGUUGGUUUUAAAGCUUUCCACAAGACAGGGGAAAAGGGUGUAGAAAUAGAGGGCUGGUGAUCCGAAACAAAUCCGUAAAGAGGUGUAUUAUCGUCUCUUUUUGGCUAGAUAUGUAGACAAAUUACUCUUUUUUUUCUGUGUGUUAAACCAGGUUAACCCGUUAA
This is a long non-coding RNA of Helianthus annuus (common sunflower), 1317 nucleotides long. RefSeq lists it as uncharacterized. Lineage: Eukaryota; Viridiplantae; Streptophyta; Magnoliopsida; Asterales; Asteraceae. The transcript has 2 exons. The record is from RefSeq and is a predicted model, not a curated record.